Molecule: ribosomal RNA, 253 nt
Filed under: uncultured bacterium
Lineage: Bacteria
Description: partial 16S ribosomal RNA
Rfam family: Bacterial small subunit ribosomal RNA
Source: RNAcentral
CACGGGGGGAGCAAGCGUUGUUCGGAAUCACUGGGCGUAAAGGGCGUGUAGGUGGAUGCCUAAGUACCUUGUGAAAUCCCACAGCUUAACUGUGGAACUGCUUGGUAUACUGGGUGUCUUGAGUCACUCAGGGGCGAGCGGAACAAAUGGUGGAGCGGUGAAAUGCGUAGAUAUCAUUUGGAACGCCAAUGGUGAAAACAGCUUGCUGGGGGUUUGCUGACGCUGAGACACGAAAGCCAGGGGAGCAAACGGG